Molecule: ribosomal RNA, 714 nt
Filed under: Torresitrachia sp. 'clade spr'
Lineage: Eukaryota; Metazoa; Mollusca; Gastropoda; Stylommatophora; Camaenidae
Description: partial 16S ribosomal RNA
Rfam family: Bacterial large subunit ribosomal RNA
Source: RNAcentral
CACGAAGUCGUAUGAGCUAACCUAUUUGCACUUAUAUGUGGCAUAAUAUUUAUUCAACAUAGGUUAGGGGUGAAAGGCUUUUCAAAGACGAUGAUAUCUUGAAGUAAGUGAAAAAAAUUGAGUUUCAAGGUGAUUACAAAGUUAUAAGAUUUUGUAAUAGAUUCAAUGACUUUUGAUACUGGAUGUCGGUAUAAAAACCAACAUAACGCGAGACUAUUAUAAAUGAGUGAGGCUUAUUUUAUUAACUUACGGUAGUAAAACUCUAUUAUAAUCAUCAUGUUAGUAUUAGUAUCUUUUAGGUGUUAGUAGUGAACUCGGCAAUAAAGCUUUCAACUGUUUAUCAAAAACAUAGCCACAUGUUUCAUAUGUGGUGUCUUCUGCUCAAUGAUAAUUGAAUAGCCGCAGUACCCUGACUGUGCAAAGGUAGCGUAAUCAUUUGUCUUUUAAUUGGAGUCGUGUAUGAACGAAUGCAUGGGGGCUUACUUUACCAUUAAUAUAACUUGAAAUUACUUAAGAGGUGAAAAAACCUCUAUCAAAAAAAUAGACGAGAAGACCCUUGAAAUUUGUAAAAAUGUUUUGUUGGGGCAACAUAGUAAGAAAACCUACUAAAUGGACAUGAAAUGUGUUUGUUUGAUUAAAUUACUCUAGGGAUAACAGCAUAAUUCUUAAAGAGCUUGUGACCUCGAUGUUGGAUUAGGGAACUACAACCUAAAA